This 253-nucleotide ribosomal RNA is filed under the name uncultured bacterium. RNAcentral describes it as "partial 16S ribosomal RNA". It matches the Rfam family "Bacterial small subunit ribosomal RNA", at positions 524 to 776 of the family's 1533-position model. The record is from RNAcentral.
UACGUAGGGGGCUAGCGUUGUCCGGAAUCAUUGGGCGUAAAGAGCGUGUAGGCGGCCAGGUAGGUCUGCUGUGAAAACUCGAGGCUCAACCUCGAGACGUCGGCGGAAACCAUCUGGCUAGAGUCCGGAAGAGGAGAGUGGAAUUCCUGGUGUAGCGGUGAAAUGCGCAGAUAUCAGGAGGAACACCGGUGGCGAAGGCGGAUCUCUGGGCCUUACCUGACGCUGAGGCGCGAAAGCUAGGGGAGCGAACAGG